CCUUGGCAAAAGUAGUCGACGUGGCGUGCCUUUUGCUGGCAGUGAUAGGCUGCUUUGCCAUCAUGUCAUCCAGCGUUGUGAUUGUGGGUGACUCCAUCUGUGGAGGCGAUGCGGAUCAGAAGCUGAGCACGAGCUCCGAAGAAGUGUAUCUUCGUGGAUUUAACACCUUUGCGGGGAAUAAUCCCAGUGACGUGGCUCUGCUCCACGAAGGAGCUGGCGAAAUCGUGGCUGCUAUCAGUGGGCACAUAGAGGUGACCGAACGAGUGAUUUCGGUGAAGGGUCUGGUGCCGCGGUACCAACCGGAAAUCGGGGAUGUUGUAGUCGGGCGCAUCUUGGAAGUUUCAGGAAACAAGUGGCAAGUUGAUGUGAACUCAACUCAAACCGCGAUUAUGCUGCUUUCAAGCGUAACGGAGCCUGGAGGCAUACUGCGGCGUCGAGGCCGCGGUGACGAGCUCGGGAUGCGCCAGAUCUUCGACCAAGAUGAUCUGGUUGCGGCAGAGGUUCAACGCAUCUCUCCCGAUGGUGUGAUGUCACUGCACACACGCGCAGCGGAGAAAUAUGGUCUGCUGUCGGGACCGGGUAUUUUGGUGACUGUUCGGCCCUCUUUGGUGAAACGCGCAAAGCACCAGUUUGCAGAACUUGCGAACUACCGCACGCAGCUGAUCAUCGGCAUGAAUGGUAACAUAUGGAUUUGCUCAUUGCAACCCUCUGCUAGCGACGCGGAGGAGACGGAGCACGCCACUGACGCACGUCAAAACGUGGCGCGUGUUGCAAACUGCAUCAAAGCACUAGGAGCGGCGCAAGUCCAGAUUCACCCAGCAUCGAUAGAGGCCAGUGUUGCGGCGUCAUUAGAGGCAGGUUUGUCGGUGUUUGAUGUUUCGCUUUCAAAGCACAGAGAUGCACUUGUGGCACGCGUUGCUGAUAUGGUGGGAUUGCAACACCGUCGCCCUGCUGGCGGUGGUGCUUCCGCGCGAACGCUGGUGUAGAGGCGAUCACGUGUACUUUUUUUUUCUUUGAAAAGCAGUGUUGUUUUGUGUGGCACUAAUUCGAUUCUUGCUCUGAGUGGGGUAAUCGAAGUAUUUCGUAGCGUGUGACUACCUGACUUACUUAGAGGAAUACGAAAGAAAAUGAAUCUGACUAUUU
This 1143-nucleotide unclassified non-coding RNA is filed under the name Leishmania donovani. RNAcentral's name for it is "gene:LdHU3.14.0030(CDS-product:exosome_complex_ex onuclease_putative)". The record is from RNAcentral. Lineage: Eukaryota; Euglenozoa; Kinetoplastea; Trypanosomatida; Trypanosomatidae.